RNAcentral lists this long non-coding RNA (440 nucleotides) under Homo sapiens (human). RNAcentral describes it as "non-protein coding lnc-SERP2-14:1". Lineage: Eukaryota; Metazoa; Chordata; Mammalia; Primates; Hominidae. The record is from RNAcentral.
GGGAGGCGGAGGUUGCAGUGUGCCAAGAUUGCACCACUGCACUCCAGCCUGGGUGACAGGAUGAGACUCUGUCUUAAGGAAAAAAAAAAAAAAAAAAAACACACACACACACAAAAAUAAUUUAUGUAUGCAAAUCAGCUAAAAGUGUAAUUUUUUCUUAUAGUUUGUAUUUUAAUUUAUAUAUAAUGUUACAUCUAAAAGGAAUUCGUUAAUAAAAUUUUUUCUCAUAAUUUGAAAUAGAACACAAUGCCUUUUAAUCCCCUCAAGGAAACAAAUUUUUCCAAAAUGCUUGAUAAAAAGCAGAUUGGAGAGAGAUUACAAAGAUCCUUGAAUGUCAGCCUGAUAAUAUCAAAACUAGUGAAAGUUUACACAACACUAACUGUGUGUCAGGCAUAAUGCUUAGACUCCACAUGGGUUUUUUAAUUCAUUCUUCACAACCA